Molecule: ribosomal RNA, 253 nt
Filed under: uncultured bacterium
Lineage: Bacteria
Description: partial 16S ribosomal RNA
Rfam family: Bacterial small subunit ribosomal RNA
Source: RNAcentral
UACGUAGGGCGCAAGCGUUGUCCGGAAUUAUUGGGCGUAAAGAGCUCGUAGGCGGUCUGUCGCGUCUGCUGUGAAAACUCGAGGCUCAACCUCGGGCUUGCAGUGGGUACGGGCAGACUAGAGUGCGGUAGGGGAGACUGGAAUUCCUGGUGUAGCGGUGGAAUGCGCAGAUAUCAGGAGGAACACCGAUGGCGAAGGCAGGUCUCUGGGCCGCAACUGACGCUGAGGAGCGAAAGCAUGGGGAGCGAACAGG